UACGUAGGCAGCAAGCGUUGUUCGGAAUUACUGGGCGUAAAGAGUGUGUAGGCGGUGUUCUAAGUUUGUCGUGAAAUCUCCCGGCUUAACUGGGAGGGUGCGGCGAAAACUGGAAUGCUAGAGGAUGGGAGAGGUAAGCGGAAUUCCUGGUGUAGCGGUGAAAUGCGUAGAUAUCGGGAGGAACACCUGUGGCGAAAGCGGCUCACUGGACCACAACUGACGCUGAUGCGCGAAAGCUAGGGGAGCAAACAGG
This 253-nucleotide ribosomal RNA is filed under the name uncultured bacterium. RNAcentral describes it as "partial 16S ribosomal RNA". It matches the Rfam family "Bacterial small subunit ribosomal RNA", at positions 524 to 776 of the family's 1533-position model. The record is from RNAcentral.